Molecule: ribosomal RNA, 439 nt
Filed under: uncultured bacterium
Lineage: Bacteria
Description: partial 16S ribosomal RNA
Rfam family: Bacterial small subunit ribosomal RNA
Source: RNAcentral
CUACGGGGCGCACCAGUGAGGAAUAUUGCACAAUGGGGGAAACCCUGAUGCAGCAACGCCGCGUGGAGGAUGACGCAUUUCGGUGUGUAAACUCCUUUUAUCAGAGAAGAAAAUGACGGUAUCUGAUGAAUAAGCUCCGGCUAACUCCGUGCCAGCAGCCGCGGUAAUACGGAGGGAGCAAGCGUUAUUCGGAAUCACUGGGCGUAAAGGACGCGUAGGCGGGUUUUUAAGUCAGGUGUGAAAUCCUAUGGCUCAACCAUAGAACUGCACUUGAAACUGGGGACCUAGAGUAUGGAAGGGGCAGGUGGAAUUAGUGGUGUAGGGGUAAAAUCCGUAGAUAUCACUAGGAAUACCGAAAGCGAAGGCGACCUGCUGGGACAUUACUGACGCUGAGGCGUGAAAGCGUGGGGAGCAAACAGGAUUAGAUACCCGCGUAGUC